CAGCAGACACAUUCCAGCCAAUCAGCAGCAGACCCUCCCUCCCAGAUCCUCUCACCUCCUGGACAGCAUCCAUUGUGAAGCUGCAUUCUUAGUGAGCUGUCCAGGAGGUGGGAGGGUCUGGGAGGGAGGGUCUGCUGCUGAUUGGCUGGAAUGUGUCUGCUG
Non-coding RNA from Pelobates cultripes (western spadefoot toad), 162 nucleotides. The record is from the annotation of a GenBank genome assembly. Lineage: Eukaryota; Metazoa; Chordata; Amphibia; Anura; Pelobatidae.